Long non-coding RNA from Pectinophora gossypiella (pink bollworm), 1449 nucleotides. RefSeq lists it as uncharacterized. The transcript is spliced from 2 exons. The record is from RefSeq and is a predicted model, not a curated record. Lineage: Eukaryota; Metazoa; Arthropoda; Insecta; Lepidoptera; Gelechiidae.
CUUAUUAACUGCCAUUUUGCUUUCUCGUUUAAUUCCAGGAACUACGAAAAUGGAGGUCCUUUGUUUAAAGUUGCACGAAUUUCUAUAUUUCGGCGGAAUCAACAAGGAUAGCGAAUAGCCAUACAAUAAGUCUAACUACGCAAUACCGAAUAUGCCACAUUUAAAAGAGGAAGUGAGGAUUGCUUGCGCCCUAAUAAAUGCCUUCGGAAAAUGGGUGACAGAUCACCCACUCGUAAAUGAAAUAAUCAACGAAUACCUUAAGCACGACGCCCCAAACUAUCUGUGCGAGUUUGUAAUACAAAACAAUUUAAAUCAACGCAGAGCCGCUUUCCAAGCUAUAAACUCAAGUGAAGGCUUUCAACAGUUUCCCAUCUUAUCAUAUGAGGAUCUGUUGAUAAUGUCUCUGGGGCCGUAUCAAGUGACGCAGGCAAGAAGCUACUAUGGCGAACACCUAAAAGAAAACGGAACGUUUUUCAUUGAAGUGUAUGAAGAUUUUGAAGUUGACUAUAAUUUAAAUCAAUACAACAUAGUAGUUUGUGAUCCUUGGCUGACAAGAGCUAAAAUACUCUAGAGGCACCAGAGCAACAGAAUUUAUUUUGUAUAUAUCUUGCUAAAUAAUAGUUUGAAAAACAGAAAUAAACUUGUCGGUCACUAUUGCAGCUGUAUAGUUGGAAAACGGACACUCGGGUGCUGUGCUCAUGUCAUGUGCAUAGUUUGGUUUAAGGGAUGGGCUCGGCACCAAGAAAUUCAACCCCCUGCUGCCUUUUUAGAUCAAGUUAUUAUUUCUGAUGAAGAAGAAGAUUGAUUAUUCAAGAAGACUGAUAUUCAUUAUCGUAAUAGGUACGAAUUUGUAUAAAAAAAGCCUAUUUGUUAUAAGUAUACAGGGUGUUAGUGACAUCGCAUCGUAACGAAUACUCAGGGGGAUGAUUCAGACCAUGAUUCUGACUUAAUAUCAGGUCGAAUUUUUCGUCGCAAAAUUCAUGAUUUUUUUUAGUUUUUUAAAAUUAUUUUCAAUUCUAUACUUUUGCGAUGGAAAAUUCCACUUGAUAUUAACUCAGAAUAAUCAGCUGAAUCAUCCCCCUCAGUAUUCGUUACGAUGUCACUUACACCCCACACAAGUACAUACAGUAGCCAUACAAGUAGGUAUGGGUAUUAGUGACAACGUAACGAAUACUGAGGGGGAUGGUUCAGACCAUGAUUCUGAGUUGAUAUCAAGUGGAAUUUUCAGUCUGAAUAUUCAUGAAAAUUUUUGUGUCUUUUUCAAUUAUUUUUCGUUCCAUACUUUUGCGACGGAAAAUUCCACUUGAUAUCAUCUCAGAAUCAUGGCCUCAAUCACCCCUCAAAGUUUUCGUUACGAUGUCACUAACACCCUGUAUACACUGUAUGUAUUCAAUAACAAUUAGUAUUGAUUUCGUUUUUAAGCAAAAUAUAAAUAACUAUAUGACUACU